GUAUCAUCAGAGUAUCAACCUUCGUACGUUUUUUUUUGCCUUGUCCCCAUCAGGAUUUCUGAAGCUGUAGAAUUGAUAUGUUCUUUUCAUCAGUAGGUAAGCCCCAUACAUGUUUUAGCUAUAGGCUGGAGGUGAAGACGACCGUCAGUUAUGAGUUAUGACUCGAUUCCUUCAAGGAGCAGGAGGAUGGUGGCGAGGUGUAUCUCCUGAACAAGGCGGCCUGCCCCGAGAGGUUCAUCGGCGGUGGUGAUGGUCUCGUGGAUACGCUGUCCGGAGGUCUCCCGACGUUGCUGCCCUGCUCUGGGCGUUCCCGUUGUCGCCACUUGACAAUCCCCCUCUUCACUUGGCCGCCUGGAUACAUGGGCACCGGAUAGGGGAUUAGAAGAGGACGCCUUUUUUAUUGGAGCUCAUCAGCAGCGACUGCCUCUGUGAUGAUGAGGAACAACUUCAACGGGAAUUCACUCCGCCCUCGUCAGUGCCACCCACAUACAUGAAAACGAGUCCAAGUUCAGCAUACUAUUACAUGAUGAACUCAUCCGUCACCAGGCAUAGGUCGAAGAGCAAAAGAAGAGUCAUUUGAAGAAGACGUGCAUCUACAAUCGAAUGGUGCUUCACUUGCUCCUCCUGGGACAGAUUGUGAUUCAUGGCAGAUAGGAAAGUCUGGUAUAUUAGUUAUUUUUUGUAUGCAAUAUGAGGUAGACAUAAUUCAGGUAAAUCACUCUUGAGUUCAGGGUACCGACAAUUAUAUGUCCUUCACUUCCCUGGGAUGUAGUUUGAAGUGGCGACGGACUUGUGAUUCAUGGCAGAUAGUAAAGUCUGGUAUAUUAAAUAUCUGUUGUAUGCAAUAUGAGGUAGACUAAUGCAGGUAAAUCACUCUUUGAGUUUUUUCUCCUUGUAUGGCAUAAUACAAAAAUUGUUGAUUUAGGUCUCUGCAUUACCAUUUAUUCGCUUGCAAUAUUGAUGUAUUUCACUCUCAUCAAUAGAAGUAUGUCACCCCUUCUAAUUAGUCCGUAUUGUAUCUACAUGGUAAAUGGUAUUUUUCUUAGAGUAUAUAGUACAACAGUACCAUGUUCUCUAUGCUCUGCCAUAACUGUUUUUGUAUUCCUUUGAUAGAUAGUACAUAUAUUAUUAAAUAUUUUUUUGCAAUAUGUAUUUCCAUUCUAAGUUAUGGACUUCUUUGAAUUAAUGCUGCGGGUGAAAGAUGAUGGAUCAGAUUUUAGGUGGUUUCAGUAUACAGAAUAUUGCCUGAAUGAGUGCCUAUGCAAUAAAAUCCACAUUAUUAUGAGAAAUAGUUGGCACAGCAUAUGUUAAAUUCUUUCCAUGUAAUUUUUAAAUAAUCAUCUGCAUGGGAGUGAUAGUAUUUUUCAGUUCGUUGUGUUGAUUACAAAAAUAACAAUUACAGUUGUCUUAUUCUUUGAAUUGAGCAUCAGUUAUAGCCAUUGUGCUGAUGACAUUCGUAUUUUCGCUGUGUUGUUAUUACUAUCCCUUGUUAUUCUGUUGCUAUCCUGCAUUUCUAAUAUCCAUAUGCCAUAGUAUAUUGACAACUGGUGAUCUCUGGCGCUAAUGGUUUGUUGGUAAUAAGUGUACCUUGGUGAGACAAUUUUAUCAACUAAAAUAUCAUGUUGCUAUUAUGCUAUGCUAUGCUAUGACGAUUCGCCCUUAAGAAAUGUCGUUGCCAAAAUAUCUUUUGUGAUACUGAUUAAUGUUGCAUUUUGUUUUGUAGUUAUGAAAGGAUAUAAGGAAGUUUAGAGAUGCAAUCUCAGGGUGACGGUAACACUGAAGAAACAUUGCUUGUUGUUGCUGCAAUCUACAAGCAAAUCCGUCACCAUGAAGAACAAAUCUGAUGGAUGUGUAGUGGAAGAAGGUCACAUGGUCUGAUGAAGAGAGCAUGCUUUUUAGUGAGGUAGACCUGAAGGUUAGGAUCGUUGCAGCGUGGCCUUCUGGUGGCGUGGUGGCUGACGAGUCAGAGCGAGCACAAGCUGGAUGAAUUCCUUCAGUAUUGGCCACACUAGCUGAUUUGCUUCAGUAUUCCCUUUAGUCAUGUGCGGUUGUUCCAUAGUAUAGAUCUUGCAUACCGAGUUUGCAGUUGACUUAGCUCUGUACCAAAUUAGUUUUGGACCUUCAGUGAUCAUCCAUAGCUUAUUGGUUUAUCAUUUUAAGAUCUUUAAGACCCACGGUGUGCUACUUUUUCUUCAACAGGAGGGUGCUUGCUCCAAGAUAAAGGACCUUGUACUGAUGCCGGGACUAUUUGUGCUUCUAAGGUGAGGUAUGAUGCUUCUCAUAGAGUUUUUCUAAAAUUUGCUGGGAAACUUAAUUAGUAAGGAUUUCCUUUAAAUCCAGAAGGGAUGUUGUUCGGAGUCUAUUUGUACCUGCCUAGAAAGCUUUUGGUGAAGUGGAAAAUCUUUCAGUAA
This is a long non-coding RNA of Lolium perenne, 2411 nucleotides long. RefSeq lists it as uncharacterized. NCBI's taxonomy places the organism in Eukaryota, Viridiplantae, Streptophyta, Magnoliopsida, Poales, Poaceae. The record is from RefSeq and is a predicted model, not a curated record.